UACAGAGGUCUCAAGCGUUGUUCGGAAUCACUGGGCGUAAAGGGUGCGUAGGCGGCGCGGAAAGUCAGGGGUGAAAUCCCGGAGCUCAACUCCGGAACUGCCUUUGAUACUCCCGCGCUAGAGAGCUGGAGGGGACAUCGGAAUUCACGGUGGAGCAGUGAAAUGCGUGGAUAUCGUGAGGAACACUAGUGGCGAAGGCGGAUGUCUGGACAGUAUCUGACGCUGAGGCACGAAGGCCAGGGGAGCGAACGGG
This 253-nucleotide ribosomal RNA is filed under the name uncultured bacterium. Its description in RNAcentral is "partial 16S ribosomal RNA". It matches the Rfam family "Bacterial small subunit ribosomal RNA", at positions 524 to 776 of the family's 1533-position model. The record is from RNAcentral.